GGCCCGACACUGCUGUAACCAUCAGCACAUGCUUGAAGAUGAUGCUGACACAGAGGACAGCAAAGCCAGUCAAGUCACAAGCACAUGGAGUCAUAGGCACUGGAUUUAAUACUUUUGAAGCAGGUUCUACUUCAGGACUUUCAGUGAGACUGAGUCUCACUCUGCCGCCAGGCUGGAGUGCAGUGGCACAAUCUUGGCUCACUGCAACUUCCACCUCCAGGGUUCAAGCCAUUGUCCUGCCUCAGCCUCCCAAAUAGCUGGGACUACAGGUGCGUGACACCAUGCCCAGUUAAUUUUUGUAUUUUUAGUAGAGACCAGGUUUCACCAUGUUGGCCAGGAUGGUCUUGAUCUCUUGACCUCGUGAUCUGCUCGCCUUGGCUUCCCAAAGUGCUGAGAUUACAGGCAUGAGCCACUGCGCCCAGACCAAAACUCAGAUUCUUUUACUUAUGACAUCAUCAAAAGCACAUCAGAGUUCUACUCCUAAUAACAAAUGUUUAAUUUUUAAUGAAAUGUAGGUGUUAGACCUUUACUAAGUACGGGCAGGAAUUUCUGACAGAAGCGGAUUUUAGAAACCCUGGUUCUUAUGUGUCCUCCCUCUCUCUCUUGCUCUGUCUGUUCAUUCAUUAUUUAUUUAUUUAUUUUUGAGACAGGGUCUCACUCUGUCAACCAGGCUGGAGUGCAAUGGCGUGAUCACAGCUCACUGUAGCCUCGACCUCCCAGGCUCAGGUGAUCCUCCUGCCACAGCCUCCUGAGCAGCUGGGACCACAAGGGUGCACCACACCCAGCUAGUUACUUUAUUUUUUGUAGAGACUGGGUUUCACCAUGCUGCCCAGGCUGGUCUCAAACUCCUGGAUUCAAGCAAUCUGCAUGUCUCAAGCAAUCUGCCUUCCGAAGUGCUGGGAUUAUAGGCAUAGCCACUGCACCCCACCCAUUUGUUCUUUCUUUCUCUCUAGUCUUCUUUUAUUUCUCCCAAUCUUAAGAGAGAGCUUUAGCUCCUAGGCCUUCAUCCAGCCAUCCAUAUCUCUGGUAUGGACAAAUGCAGUUUUCACCAUCAUAUAUCAAAUAUGUCCUCGAAGCCAACCCUUUCCCCGACCCGCACAUCCAGCCUGGUGCCUUAAUCUCACCCUUUGUGGAAUUCCGUGCCAGGCCUUAUGUUCUAGUGCACACCUUAAAGGGGAUCUGCAUAUCCAAAAAGCUGUGCUGCUCAGGAAGCAAGGAGGCCAGCCCCUCCGGCUGCUCCCACCAUCCUCUCUGUGCUCUUUUCUGGAUCUUACUUGCAGUAGGGCAGGAAUUCCAGGCUUUUCAUUUUUCCUACCUCUAUGAGGAGAAAAAAAGAAAGAAUGUUCAGAUGGGUGGAUAAGGCACAUGG
Molecule: long non-coding RNA, 1369 nt
Filed under: Homo sapiens (human)
Lineage: Eukaryota; Metazoa; Chordata; Mammalia; Primates; Hominidae
Description: HSALNT0319611
Source: RNAcentral